UACGGAGGGAGCUAGCGUUGUUCGGAAUUACUGGGCGUAAAGCGUACGUAGGCGGUUAUUCAAGUCAGAGGUGAAAGCCCGGGGCUCAACCCCGGAACUGCCUUUGAAACUAGAUAGCUAGAAUCUUGGAGAGGUCAGUGGAAUUCCGAGUGUAGAGGUGAAAUUCGUAGAUAUUCGGAAGAAAACCAGUGGCGAAGGCGACAGACUGGACAAGUAUUGACGCUGAGGUACGAAAGCGUGGGGAGCAAACAGG
Molecule: ribosomal RNA, 253 nt
Filed under: uncultured bacterium
Lineage: Bacteria
Description: partial 16S ribosomal RNA
Rfam family: Bacterial small subunit ribosomal RNA
Source: RNAcentral